Molecule: unclassified non-coding RNA, 403 nt
Filed under: fungal sp.
Lineage: Eukaryota; Fungi
Description: partial internal transcribed spacer region
Rfam family: Eukaryotic small subunit ribosomal RNA (bases 1-46)
Source: RNAcentral
AAGUCGUAACAAGGUUUCCGUAGGUGAACCUGCGGAAGGAUCAUUAACACGUAUCCAAACGUUAAACCCCCCUGUGAACCUUCAGUCGUACUCGUACGUCCGUUAGAAAAAGCAGCAAUCCCUGGUAAAUCAUCGCCGAACAGUUUUCGAUUCAGGGACGUCUGCAAGGAGCGUGCAUGUUGUGCGUGUAAGUGGCCUGGCAUCCCCAAGCAGUUAGUGUCUGAAAGUGUCACUAACGUUAGUGUCUGAAAGUGUCACUAACAUGUGUAAGGAUGACGCAGUCACGGCCCACACGGCCGACGACCGGGUCACUGGGUGCAAGCCCCCUUAGGUGAUCCUGCGGGAAGUCCUGCGGUCGAACGCCGAAACCGAACAACUGUUAACAAUGGAUAUCUUGGUUCUC